Molecule: non-coding RNA, 24 nt
Filed under: Arabidopsis thaliana (thale cress)
Lineage: Eukaryota; Viridiplantae; Streptophyta; Magnoliopsida; Brassicales; Brassicaceae
Source: RNAcentral
ACAGUUCCGUCGAAACGAAGAGUG